ACCAUAAGAGUGUUUUAGUAUCUGCUCAGGACGAACGCUGGCGGCGUGCCUAAUACAUGCAAGUCGAGCGGACAGAAGGGAGCUUGCUCCCGGAUGUUAGCGGCGGACGGGUGAGUAACACGUGGGUAACCUGCCUGUAAGACUGGGAUAACUCCGGGAAACCGGAGCUAAUACCGGAUAGUUCCUUGAACCGCAUGGUUCAAGGAUGAAAGACGGUUUCGGCUGUCACUUACAGAUGGACCCGCGGCGCAUUAGCUAGUUGGUGGGGUAAUGGCUCACCAAGGCGACGAUGCGUAGCCGACCUGAGAGGGUGAUCGGCCACACUGGGACUGAGACACGGCCCAGACUCCUACGGGAGGCAGCAGUAGGGAAUCUUCCGCAAUGGACGAAAGUCUGACGGAGCAACGCCGCGUGAGUGAUGAAGGUUUUCGGAUCGUAAAGCUCUGUUGUUAGGGAAGAACAAGUGCGAGAGUAACUGCUCGCACCUUGACGGUACCUAACCAGAAAGCCACGGCUAACUACGUGCCAGCAGCCGCGGUAAUACGUAGGUGGCAAGCGUUGUCCGGAAUUAUUGGGCGUAAAGGGCUCGCAGGCGGUUUCUUAAGUCUGAUGUGAAAGCCCCCGGCUCAACCGGGGAGGGUCAUUGGAAACUGGGACACUUGAGCGCAGAAGAGGAGAGUGGAAUUCCACGUGUAGCGGUGAAAUGCGUAGAGAUGUGGAGGAUACUUUUAUUUGUCUCAGUGGCGAAGGCGACUCUCUGGUCUGUAACUGACGCUGAGGAGCGAAAGCGUGGGGAGCGAACAGGAUUAGAUACCCUGGUAGUCCACGCCGUAAACGAUGAGUGCUAAGUGUUAGGGGGUUUCCGCCCCUUAGUGCUGCAGCUAACGCAUUAAGCACUCCGCCUGGGGAGUACGGUCGCAAGACUGAAACUCAAAGGAAUUGACGGGGGCCCGCACAAGCGGUGGAGCAUGUGGUUGGAUGCGAAGCAACGCGAAGAACCUUACCAGGUCUUGACAUCCUCUGACAACCCUAGAGAUAGGGCUUUCCCUUCGGGGACAGAGUGACAGGUGGUGCAUGGUUGUCGUCAGCUCGUGUCGUGAGAUGUUGGGUUAAGUCCCGCAACGAGCGCAACCCUUGAUCUUAGUUGCCAGCAUUCAGUUGGGCACUCUAAGGUGACUGCCGGUGACAAACCGGAGGAAGGUGGGGAUGACGUCAAAUCAUCAUGCCCCUUAUGACCUGGGCUACACACGUGCUACAAUGGACAGAACAAAGGGCUGCAAGACCGCAAGGUUUAGCCAAUCCCAUAAAUCUGUUCUCAGUUCGGAUCGCAGUCUGCAACUCGACUGCGUGAAGCUGGAAUCGCUAGUAAUCGCGGAUCAGCAUGCCGCGGUGAAUACGUUCCCGGGCCUUGUACACACCGCCCGUCACACCACGAGAGUUUGCAACACCCGAAGUCGGUGAGGUAACCUUUAUGGAGCCAGCCGCCGAAGGUGGGGCAGAUGAUUGGGGUGAAGUCGUACAAAAGGUAAUCAAUAGGAGUUUGAUCCUGG
RNAcentral lists this ribosomal RNA (1550 nucleotides) under Bacillus sp. BAB-2582. RNAcentral describes it as "bacterial SSU rRNA". It matches the Rfam family "Bacterial small subunit ribosomal RNA". Lineage: Bacteria; Bacillati; Bacillota; Bacilli; Caryophanales; Bacillaceae. The record is from RNAcentral.